AAAAACUGUUUAGUACAGCUGAGUAUUAAAGAAUACGCAGGUCAUUUCGGGUGCCUUAGGAAUCAAAUAUGUUCAUAUUGUCCCAUUACCUCCUCGAUGACAUGAAGAUAAGAGAAUCAACUGACAAAUCUCAGGUUCUAUCCUUUGAGACCUACUCUUACUUCAGGAUCAUGAAUUUGCUUUCUGCCAAACACAUGGAAGUGUUAAGAGCUAAUACCGAAAGUUGAACUGUUUAUUAAAACUGACAUUAUAUCCUUACCUAAAUCCAAGACGAGGAAAAGGACGCCAACAAAGACAGAGGCUAAAAAAUACUUCCGGACAUCACCUUACCUCUCAGAGUCAAGUUUCCUUGCUUAACAAGAGAAAAAGGACCCGGUUCCCUACUUACAGUAAUGUUGCAAAGUUCCUGCUAUUUUAAAACCUCUAAUUUGUAUCUCAGAGACAGAGCCUGAGACUGCUAAAGCAGUAUCUCCACUGACUAGCACGAAUCAAUAAAUAGUUGCACA
Molecule: long non-coding RNA, 506 nt
Organism: Lontra canadensis (Northern American river otter)
Lineage: Eukaryota; Metazoa; Chordata; Mammalia; Carnivora; Mustelidae
Exons: 2
Source: RefSeq, a predicted model, not a curated record